UGCGUAGGCGGUUUAUUAAGUCAGAUGUGAAAGCCCCGGGCUUAAUCUGGGAACUGCAUUUGAUACUGGUAGACUAGAGUAUGAUAGAGGGGGGUAGAAUUCCUAGUGUAGCGGUGAAAUGCGUAGAUAUUAGGAGGAAUACCAGUGGCGAAGGCGGCCCCCUGGACCAAUACUGACGCUGAGGUACGAAAGCGUGGGUAGCGAACA
This 207-nucleotide ribosomal RNA is filed under the name uncultured bacterium. Its description in RNAcentral is "partial 16S ribosomal RNA". It matches the Rfam family "Bacterial small subunit ribosomal RNA", at positions 568 to 774 of the family's 1533-position model. The record is from RNAcentral.